AGUGAACGCUGGCGGCAGGCCUAACACAUGCAAGUCGAGCGGAUGAACAGAGAGUGCUCGCGGAUACAGCGGCCGAGGGGCGAGCGAGGCAGAAGAAUCUGGGAAGCAGCGGGGGCGAAGGUGAGAACGCGGGCGAACAUACGCUAAUAGCGCAGAGGACGAACGGGUGGAAGCAGCGGACCUUAGGACAUUGGACGAGUGAAGGUGGGGAUGUCGGAUUAGCUAGUUGGCGGGGUAAAGGCCCACCAAGGCGACGAUCCGUAGCUGGUCUGAGAGGAUGAUCAGCCACACUGGAACUGAGACACGGUCCAGACUCCUACGGGAGGCAGCAGUGGGGAAUAUUGGACAAUGGGCGAAAGCCUGAUCCAGCCAUACCGCGUGGGUGAAGAAGGUCUUCGGGUUGUAAAGCCCUUUUGUUGGGAAAGAAGAGCAGCAGGUUAAUACCCCGCUGUUCUGACGGUACCCACAGAAUAAGCACCGGCUAACUUCGUG
This 492-nucleotide ribosomal RNA is filed under the name uncultured bacterium. Its description in RNAcentral is "partial 16S ribosomal RNA". It matches the Rfam family "Bacterial small subunit ribosomal RNA", at positions 30 to 507 of the family's 1533-position model. The record is from RNAcentral.